Mus musculus (house mouse) is the source of this 1625-nucleotide long non-coding RNA. RefSeq annotates it as predicted gene, 51783. NCBI's taxonomy places the organism in Eukaryota, Metazoa, Chordata, Mammalia, Rodentia, Muridae. The transcript is spliced from 3 exons. The record is from RefSeq and is a predicted model, not a curated record.
AAAAUGAGAAAGAUCACACAACCUCUUUUGUUGCAACAAUCCUUUGGCCAGGCAGACUAGUGGACAAGGGCGUUCAAAGGUCAGAGGUCAGUCCAAAUUUAAACAGAAGACGGCGGAUCAAAUGUCCUUGCACAAUCGUGGUGUAGUGUGUAAGGUUGUAGAUGCCCUUGUUCGAGGCUGUGAUUCUGUCAGUCUUUGGAGGGCAGUCCUUUUUAUCCAGGACUUGGUGACAGUCGCUACUCCAGGGCUUUCCAGCUUGACCUAAGUGACUCUGUUUUCUCUCUGACAACCUUUACACUUUCCAACCCCACCCUGCGAAGGCCUAUACCUGAUACAAGAUCCCCUAAGCUGUUACCGUUCGUUCCUACGUCAGGACUUGCUCUUACCCUGUUCUCUCUGACCUACAAUGUGCCAUCUCAGGUGACCUUCUGUGUCCCCAUGGCCUGGAGACAACGCAUUGUCCUGGGCUCCCCUGUUCUACCUCCUUUUCCGCCCCUGCCACUCUGGCAAAUUCUACUGUUUAUUAAAGUUCCCACCCUGGCCUGUGAACUGGAAGUGGCUGUAGAUUGUGGAAAGAAAAUGUGGUCUUGUGUGGGAGGUUCCGGCACGGUCUAGAAUUUCAGCACUCUCAGUAAUUCUCACCCUGAGUUGACACAAAGACUAGGAGAACCUUGAUUGUCUUUUUUAAGCUGGGUUUUACACUGUUUUCUUCUCCUGUGUGGUUUGGGAACUAUCGAAGAGAAGAACAAUGCCUAACAAGGAAAAACAGAAAUACUCAAUUGGUGUCUGACUAAUCAGGUUACGACUCAGAUGGACUCUACACCAUUCUCCCCAGCCCUAACCACAGAUAUCAUCACACUGUUUGAAGAUGGAGCCUAGCAGGAGGAAACAAAAGUUGAAUGGUACUGGAAAGUGCGGCCUUAAUCCUGGUGUCCUCGUAAGAAGGAACACAAGUUGUCCCUUUCUACGCAUGUGCAGAAGGCGGUGUGAGGGACCAGUGAGAAACUGGCUGUGUGCCAAGCACAAGAGGAACCUCCUGGGCGACCAUCCCUCCCAGUACAACCUUAGGCUUUCUGCCUCAAGAACUGGUAGGCCAUGAAUUUCUGUUCUCAAAGUCACCUACCUGACCUGUGGCAUUUCGUCAUGACAACCCUGGUGGCUGAAGAUCCUGGGGAAGAGUUUUUCAGGGCAAAAGUCACCGAAGAUGCAGCAGGGAGUGACACAACACAGGAUCACACAAGGGAAGACCAGAAGAUGGCAGUCACUUAGCCAAGGACAGCUGCUGGUAGCUGCUUCCAGAGAGCCAGUUCUGCUGCAGUGCCCAUGUGUCAGGGACAGUGCUGGGAUCUCAGUGUUUUGCAGUAGAUGUAGGCCCUCAAGGAUCUCACGGUGGGUAAAGGACACACAAACACAGUGCCACUACAACAUGGUCAACGGUCAGUGCUGCUUUAAGAAACAAGGCGAGUUGUCAUGUAGAGGAUCUGUCUCAGGGGAGGUGGUGUUUGAGAUGAACAUCAAAUCUGAGACGGGGUUUGCCGGGAGAAGAGAACUGAGAGUGUCAGGCUGGAGAGACAGCUCAGCGGGUAAGAGCACUGACUGUUCUUCCAUAAGUCCUGAGUUCAAUU